CAAGAUGUAGCUAAACUCAAAGCACUCAGCUUACACCUGAGAGAUACCUACUCACAACUUAGGUCGUCUUGA
This 72-nucleotide transfer RNA is filed under the name Indicator maculatus (spotted honeyguide). RNAcentral's name for it is "tRNA-Val". The record is from RNAcentral. Lineage: Eukaryota; Metazoa; Chordata; Aves; Piciformes; Indicatoridae.